This 125-nucleotide small nuclear RNA is filed under the name Erythranthe guttata (spotted monkey flower). RNAcentral describes it as "Mimulus guttatus (spotted monkey flower) U5 spliceosomal RNA". It matches the Rfam family "U5 spliceosomal RNA". From Rfam's summary of the family: U5 RNA is a component of both types of known spliceosome. The precise function of this molecule is unknown, though it is known that the 5' loop is required for splice site selection and p220 binding, and that both the 3' stem-loop and the Sm site are important for Sm protein binding and cap methylation. The record is from Rfam by way of RNAcentral. Lineage: Eukaryota; Viridiplantae; Streptophyta; Magnoliopsida; Lamiales; Phrymaceae.
CAGCUGCGCGGUAAGCACAUAGCGAACUAUUCUUUCGCCUUUUACUAAAGAAUACCGUGUGUUUGCCGCUAUUCAACCGAACCAUUACCAACUAUAUUUUUAGGCGGAUAAUCAAAUUUUAACCA